GCUCCUUCUACAUUUCUAGUUUGUAGAACUAGCCCCAGCUUCAGGUAAUUCUGAACUAACAGCUUGAGACUAUGCAUUGCCUUUCAAAUGUUAAGGCAACACCUUGCUAUCUAACUAUAGGCUUCACCUCCAAACCUAGUAGUUGGUCAGUCCUCUUGCAAGGAGGACAGACUGCAAAAGAAAAUUGCAGGCCGUUUUUGUUUUUUUUUUUAAGAGGAAACUGCCUUCAGACUCCAUGACAAGCUCAACUGUACUGAGCCUGGAAGCAGCCUGAAGCCAUAGGUAGGUUUUCAGCAGGGAGUGCUGAAUCAGAGCUACUACUGCACUAUCAGGGCAACAUGUUUAAAAAAAAAUUCCUGUGAGCUGAAACUUGGCAUACAAGGUCAAUGCCGGGACGUACUCUCCCUUGCUGCCUCCCUCUUUGAAAGCUUUCUACAACCAGGUAAAGUAGUACAAACUCUAAAGAUCUGAGCAUUGCUAUUUGAUGUACUAGGUUUCUGUAAUUCAAGAACAGAUCUUUAAAAAAAAUAAACGCACCACAUACACAAAGAACACCAGAUUCAAUCAGGGUUUAACCCACCUUGGAACCUUGUGGUGAAAAGUCUGCUGUAGAGAUGGUGUAAAGGGACUGCAACUUCAAUCAUUUCUCUCUAUCCCUCUCGUUUCAAUGUGAGGUAUUAUAUACAAAAACAGCCCAAAAAAGCAAAUAUUGCUGGCUGGAAGAGGAUUUUCAGAAGGAGUUAAAGCUACUUUUAUGGCCCACAAACCCAACCCUUAAUGGAAAACCUAGAGGGAGGACAGCACAGGAAGACUAAUUGCUCUACUGAAGGGUAUGGCUGGAGAACGAUUAGCAGAUACUGCACCUCGCUGUGAUGCGAGUUUCCGCAAGACAGUACAGACAUCACUGCUGGUCGGCGCUGACAGAGAAGGAUUGCGGGCAGGAAGCACAGAGUUUGAAGCUUGGAGUUCUGGAACACAGCCAAAGCUGCAGACACUAAAGGUUCUGACCUGGACCAUGUGGUGGCGAGAUGGUACUGGACAGGCAGUACUGCCCCGCCCAUUAUCCCCUCAGGUGGAGACAUGAGCUGCUGCUGUGGAAUACUGGACCCUGAUGAGAAGAAAGAAGAGGACUAGGGAGGCCAGGUUCAGCAAUAUCCUGCAAGCCAGGGCUACACUGAACUGUGAACAAAGGGCCUGAUGGGCCAAUAUGGCAGAAAGCAUGGAGAAGAAAAGAGCGGACAGGAAAAGGAGAGGGAGAGCCUCAGGAAAUAACAGGGUUUCUCAGGCAGCAAACCCAAAUACUGCAGACCCUCAUUAACCUACAAGUCCAACAAUCAUGGACUCACCACUCUUUGCAGUCACUGGAGAGCUCUGGCAUAGCAGCUCCCUACACUCCCGAAUAUUCCAUGUGGCACCACAUCCUACCACUACAUGCCUGGAGACGGCAAGGACAACCACAGUGUCACGUACACUGAGCUGCGAAAGCCACAGUUGGUGGAUCUGUCGCCAAAAUCGAUGACAUUUGUGCACUGAAGUGGACAGAAAUGUUGGUUGCUUUUUCAAUUUCGAAGUUCCAGUCCGUUAAUUUAUGUUAGA
Long non-coding RNA from Chrysemys picta bellii (western painted turtle), 1596 nucleotides. RefSeq lists it as uncharacterized. NCBI's taxonomy places the organism in Eukaryota, Metazoa, Chordata, Testudines, Emydidae. The record is from RefSeq and is a predicted model, not a curated record.